GGGGAAUAUUGCGCAACGGGGGAAACCCGGACGCAGUAAUAGCGCGUGAGUGAAGAAGGUUUUCGGACCGUAAAGCACUGUUAUCGGGGAAGAAAAAAAGACGGUACCCACGAAGACAGUCCUGUCUAAUUACGUGCCAGCAGCCGCGGUAAUACGUAGGGGACAAGCGUUGUCCGGAUUUACUGGGCGUAAAGGGCACGCAGGCGGUUUUUUAAGUCAGAUGUGAAAGGUACCGGCUCAACCGGUGACAUGCAUUUGAAACUGAAAGACUUGAGUAUUGGAGAGGCAAGUGGAAUUCCUAGUGUAGCGGUGAAAUGCGUAGAUAUUAGGAGGAACACCGGUGGCGAAGGCGGCUUGCUGGACAAAUACUGACGCUGAGGUGCGAAAGCGUGGGGAGCAAACA
RNAcentral lists this ribosomal RNA (403 nucleotides) under uncultured Acetobacterium sp. Its description in RNAcentral is "bacterial SSU rRNA". It matches the Rfam family "Bacterial small subunit ribosomal RNA", at positions 356 to 774 of the family's 1533-position model. Lineage: Bacteria; Bacillati; Bacillota; Clostridia; Eubacteriales; Eubacteriaceae. The record is from RNAcentral.